UAUGUAUUUUAAUAUUCUAAUAUAAUAUAAGUAUAAAGAUAGGUAAAAUACUUAGCGAGAUAAAUAGGGGUGCUCUCCCCCAAGCUGAAUUUUGACGUAAUUUCUCUUGAUGUAGCUAGCAGGUGGCAGAGGUAUAUUUGAAAGUCAGCAGCAUUCUGACAGCGAUUAGAAUGUCCUCCGUCUGCUAGUCUUCUUGAUUCUUAAAUUCUGUGGAGCUCAAAUAGACAACAAAGCUUGUGGAACUAAUUAAGUGUUAGCAUAAAUAUCUAGCCUUCAUCACGUUGAGCUUCCUCAAUAAAUAUUACUCCCUGUUUUUAUAUUUUUAUUUUAUAAAGUAGAAAAGAAAUAUUUAUUUUAUUUUUAUGCCACCAUAGUGAAGGUACUUAUGGGUUUUAUGCCACUCGUAUACUCACAUGGGGCUUAGUAUUUUUUUAACAUUUUUAUUUUCUUUUCAAGAUAGCAUGAUUAACUAAUAAUCUAUUUAAGGAAAGUAAAUAAUUACAGGGAAAAGGGAAUGCAGAAAGGAUAAAUAUGGAUAACUACCAAUCUUACCUUUCGGUGAGGGUUCAAUGUUUUAAGUCUUCUUGACAAGACUUCUCACCGUGUUCAUUCUUCAGGUGCGUCAUUUGAUUCAUGUGCGGACCUUGACGUCUGCACCUUUUAAUACGGUGUCACCCAUGUUCUUCGUUUGCCCAGCAGUUCGAAGUGAGGUGUUAGCAGUAUCUUGCUCAGUGUGUUUGUGCUCGUAGUGUACCUGCUCAUAGAGACAAGGCAGAGAUCAAGUGUAUGAGCCCUGUUGGUGGAAAACACCAACAGAACCAAAAGUGUAUUUGUUCUUCUCUAACCUUAAGCAUAGUGAGCAAGACAAAGUUGAUGGAUGAUAAGUUCAUGAGUGUAGCACUUAUAACAUUUGUCAGAUCAGAUCGCUCAACCUUAUGGAAAGAUAAUCUAUCUAUGUAUAUGUCUUUUUCUUUAUAUCUCUCAAUGAUUGAAUGUGUAACAUUUUAGCUCAUAUGAUUAGGAGUGUGGGAUCAUGGAGGUAGUACUAAGAACAAGGAUUAAAGGACUAAACAUGUUGAAUCAGUUGGGUUGGUUAAUCUAGAGUUGUAAAUCAUACACGUUUGUCUCUUUUAUUUAUAUGAACGCCAGAACCAAGGAGAAGCUUAUAAAAGUGAUAGUCAAAUACCUUAGGAUGUUACCUUGCUUGAAAAGUGAUGGUACAGUAUCACCUUGUGGAAGCUUUCCUUUCUUAGCGGUUGUGCAUCGUGUUCGUGGCACCCUCCAUGGAUCAUCUCUCUAUGAUGAAUGAGCUAUGUCCUUCUUGUGCAAAUUGUUAAACUUCAUGUGUCACUCUCUUCGUCUCUGAUGUGAGUUUAUCUCAGGACUUCCCAAAUCGAUAUUGAAAGUUUUUCUGCAGGGGUUAGUCCGACAAAAUAUACCAAUAU
RNAcentral lists this long non-coding RNA (1445 nucleotides) under Sorghum bicolor (sorghum). Its description in RNAcentral is "long non-coding RNA (SBIC_LNC002361)". Lineage: Eukaryota; Viridiplantae; Streptophyta; Magnoliopsida; Poales; Poaceae. The record is from RNAcentral.